AUGAGUUUUGCCUUAUCUGCUUGUUUUGCCAGGUUGUUUCCAACCGUAUUAUCUACUAUUGUGGCAAUAAACACGAGUCAAGAGUUGAAUAAAAAGAAUUCUUUUUAUCAUCAUCAUCACCAUCAUCCUCAAUCACUGUCAUCACCAUACCACAAGGCAGAGCAAGUCCCUACAGAGCAGGCUGCCCUCAGUGAUGAUGAGUUUUGUAUCUCCCAGAACAUCCCACCUCUUAAAUGUCUAGCAUCUUACAACCACAGUUGCUAACAGUAUGAGUUCUACAGUUAUACAGAACUAAGUCCGUUAGCUAUGUGACCCAUGGCCAAAUAUUUUCCUUCUCUGUGCCUGCAUUUCUUCAUCUGUAAACUGGAAUAAUGAUAGCAACUACUUCAGAGGACCACGUAUUAAAUGAGGUAAUCCUUGUGAUGAGAGUCUCAGAAUGCCUUGCAUAUUAUAAAUUCUUAACAGGUGUUGGCUUCAUCAUUAUUUUGUUAUUUUAUUAUAUAUAUUUUAACAGCUUUAUUGAGAUAUAAUUGAUAUACAAAGAACUGCACAUAUUCAACGUGUAUAAUUUGAUGAAUUUGUACAUAGGCAAACACCCAUACAACCAUCCCCACUCAGGGUAAUAGACGUAUGCAACUUCUCCAAGUUUUUUGUGUGUCCCUUUGUUUUUGUUUUGUUUUGUUUUCUUGGGAAGAACACUUAACAUGGAAAUCUACCUUCUUAACAUAUGAUCCAGCAAUACCACCUCUGGGUAUAUAUUCAAAGGGAUUGAAAUCAGGAUCUCAAAAAGACAUCUUCACUCCCGAGUUCGUUGUAAAAUUAGUCACGAUAGCCACGAUAUGGAAACAACCUGUUUCCAUUGACAUAUAAAUGCAUAAAGAAAGUGUAGUAUACAAUGGAAUUAUUCAUCCUUAAAAAGAAGGAAAUCCUGCCAUUUGAGACAACAUGGAUAAACCUGAAGGACAUUAUGCUAAGAGAAAGAAGCCAUUCACAGAAGGAUAAAUGGUUUAUGAUUACACUUACAUGAGGUAUCUAUAACGGUCAAACUCAUAGAAGCAGAGAAUACAGCAGUGGUUGUCAGAGGCAAAUUAAGAGAGAGGUGAGGAGUUGUUCAAUGGUUACAAAGUUUCAAUUAUGCUACAUGAAUGAAUUCUAGAGAUCAACUCUACAGCUAAGUGCCUGUAGUUAAAAAUACUGUAUUGUGUUUAUCAUUAUUAUUUUGAAGAAAAUAUUAAAAAGUAUAUUAUGGUCACUUUAAGGUCAACAACAGAUAAACCACCAGAAUAAAGUAUCAUUUUUUUAAAAACCUCAGUAAGACUUUAAAAAUUCAUUUCUAACUAUGGAAAUCUCAUGAAAUUCAGAGGACUUUAAUGAAAUCCUAAUACAGCUGGUUGUUCUCCAUAAUUGACCAAAUAAAAUCAAAUCCUUCCUGAAAUUUGCUAGCUAGAAUAUUAUUCUAAGCUUAACUCUAUGCUGGGCAGGCCAAGUUAUCUUAGAAAUGGUUUUGUAGGAUACAAAUUUAAUAACCCAUAUAUUCAGUAAUUUGUAAGGCAAUGGGCCAAAUCUUUGGCAGGGAUUUUCUUAUUUUCCCACAGCUGAAGUUUCUGGAGAAUUGCUCUCAUAUUAGAAAAAAAAAAAAAACCACACUAAGUGGAACUGCUUAUGAAGAAUAUACUGUUUUUGUCUUUAACCACUUUGUUCAGGUAUGAUUGACACAUUUAAAAACUGUACUUAUUUUAUAUACAAUCUCUCAGUGACUUUCGAGAUAAGUAUAAACCCAUGAAAUCAUCACCACUACCAAGGCCAUAGAACAUCUGUCACCUCCCAAAGUUUCCUCCCAGCUCCUUUAUUAUCAUUAUUGGAGGUUUUGUUGUUGUUGUCGUCACUCGUUGAUACGAACAAUCAACAUAAGGUAGAUCUUUCCCUCUCAACAAAUUUUAAGUAUAAAAUGGAGUUUUGCUAGCUAUAGGCACUAUACCAUAUAGCAGAUUUCCAGAAAUUACUUAUUUUACAUAGCUGGAACUUUGUACCCUUUAACUAUCACCUCCCCAAUUCUCCUGUUUUCCUAUACCCUGGCAAUUCCCAUUCUACUCUAUCCUUCUAUGAGUUUGUUUUAGAUUCCACACAUAAGUGAAAUUGUAGAGUAUCUGUUUAUUUUGUGUCUGGAUGACUUCAUUUAACAGAAUACCCUCCAAGUCCAUCCAUGUUGUUUCAAAUGACAGGAUUUUCUUUUCUUAAAGGCAGGGUAAUAUUUCAUUGUAUGUAUAUACCACAGUUUCUUUAUCCAUUAAUCUAUCUAUGAACAUUCAAGUUGUUGCUGUAUCUUGG
RNAcentral lists this long non-coding RNA (2328 nucleotides) under Macaca mulatta (Rhesus monkey). RNAcentral describes it as "lncRNA (ENSMMUG00000046641.2)". Lineage: Eukaryota; Metazoa; Chordata; Mammalia; Primates; Cercopithecidae. The record is from RNAcentral.